GUGGCUGGACGGCAUGCUUUACCAUGCAAGUCGAACGGUAACAGGCCUUCGGGUGCUGACGAGUGGCGAACGGGUGAGUAAAGCAUCGGAACGUACCCAGAGGUGGGGGAUAACGCAGCGAAAGCUGUGCUAAUACCGCAUGUGAUCUGAGGAUGAAAGCGGGGGACCUUCGGGCCUCGCGCCUUUGGAGCGGCCGAUGUCGGAUUAGCUAGUUGGUGGGGUAAAGGCCUACCAAGGCGACGAUCCGUAGCUGGUCUGAGAGGACGACCAGCCACACUGGGACUGAGACACGGCCCAGACUCCUACGGGAGGCAGCAGUGGGGAAUUUUGGACAAUGGGCGCAAGCCUGAUCCAGCAAUGCCGCGUGCGGGAAGAAGGCCUUCGGGUUGUAAACCGCUUUUGGCAGGAACGAAAAGCUCUGGGCGAAUACCCUGGGGUGAUGACGGUACCUGCAGAAUAAGCACCGGCUAACUACGUGCCAGCAGCCGCGGUAAUACGUAGGGUGCGAGCGUUAAUCGGAAUUACUGGGCGUAAAGCGUGCGCAGGCGGUUGUGUAAGAC
This 560-nucleotide ribosomal RNA is filed under the name Tepidimonas taiwanensis. Its description in RNAcentral is "bacterial SSU rRNA". It matches the Rfam family "Bacterial small subunit ribosomal RNA", at positions 32 to 589 of the family's 1533-position model. The record is from RNAcentral. Lineage: Bacteria; Pseudomonadati; Pseudomonadota; Betaproteobacteria; Burkholderiales.